This 792-nucleotide long non-coding RNA is filed under the name Capsella grandiflora. RNAcentral's name for it is "long non-coding RNA (CGRA_LNC001674)". The record is from RNAcentral. Lineage: Eukaryota; Viridiplantae; Streptophyta; Magnoliopsida; Brassicales; Brassicaceae.
AGGAAUCACCUAAAAUUGAUAAUAGAGGAAUGCAGGUCGAACCUAGAACAAAAGAAGAGGAAGAGGCCAAUGCCAAAGCAGGCGCUCAAUUGGCACCACCUCAGCCACCUUUUAGACCUCAACCUCCUGUAAGACCCCAGCCAAUGUUACAAGGGAAGCCUAUGGUAGCUCAACCACCCGUCAAGAAAUCACCCAUCUUAAAAGAUCUUGGUAUGGCACCAAAACCUCCAGUUUCUCAAGAAGUUGAUUCUAGCAUUAAAAGUAAAGAAAGGAAGCCUAUUUUGGUUGACAAAUUUGCUUCCAAGAAAAAGGCUGUUGAUGCUGUGGCCUCUCAGGCUGUGUUAGCUCCUACGAAGCCUGGAAAGGGUCCUCCCUCUAACAAGUUCAGGGUUGAGCACCGUAAUAAAAAAAAUGCAUCAGCUAGCCCAAGACGAAGAAUUGUUGCUGAAGAUGACGGAGAUGAAGAUACAUCCAUUUCUAGAUCAGGUAGAAAAGGGAGAAAAUGGAGUAAAGCGAGUAGGAAGGCUGUAAGACUCCAGGCUGCAAAAGACGCUGCACCUGUCAAAGCUGAAAUCUUAGAGGUAGAGGAAGAAGGCAUGUCCAUCGAGGAUUUGGCUUACAACCUAGCCAUCGGCGAAGGUGACAUCCUCGGGUAUCUAUAUUCAAAAGGGAUUAGACCUGAUGGUGUGCAGACCUUGGAUCGAGAGAUGGUGAAGAUGAUUUGUAGAGAUUACGAUGUUGAGGUCCUUGAUGCUGAUUCAGUUAAAGUAGAAGAGAUGGCAAAGAAACGGC